This 4424-nucleotide long non-coding RNA is filed under the name Salmo salar (Atlantic salmon). RNAcentral describes it as "lncRNA (ENSSSAG00000122025.1)". Lineage: Eukaryota; Metazoa; Chordata; Actinopteri; Salmoniformes; Salmonidae. The record is from RNAcentral.
ACAAUGAUCAUGUUUUUUUAACGGUUUUGAAAGAGCCCCUGAUUGGGCCAGGGUGGCAUUUACCUGGUGGAGUCUUAGUCCGGUAGCAUGACGAUUAAAACUAAAUUAUUCGGCUAAUGUCUCGUCCGCUACAUAGGCAAAUUAGUCUGAGACUGCAAUCACGGAGGGGGUUCGCUUAUCUGGCCCGAAGAGUUUGAACCGGGUGAAACGUGAUUGCUUUCGUUUUGGAACGGGGCUGCCUCCGGGGCGUGAGCCAGUGCCCAGCGCUCGCCGACCGCGAACACUGACCAAAACAAACGUGACAUAGCCACGCACGUGUAGUAAUGAGUGGGAUUGUGUUUUCACAUGCAAAGGCAGAGCAGGCAACAGAUGGCACACAGACAGCAGAGUUGGGGACAGAUAUGCAGGGACAGACUGGCAGAGACAGGGAGUCUCAGACGCUUUAUCUGGACAUGGUUCGUCAGGACCUCCAACAGCCGAAGCUAAGUAUUAACAUUAACAUGAUGCCUUCUAAUUGCAGUCGUUGUACUCAUAAUAUACAGGAGAACGAUCGCCUUACGGCGAGGAUAGCUGUGCUGCAAGCCCAGCUUCAGACGCAAUCGUUAGGCAAGGGUAAUUUAAGUGUAGGAAAGGAUGAAACAGCGUCUGUGCCACCAGUAAGUACAGAUAGCAGUAUAAAUCCCCUCGCACGGUCCCCGCAGCCGGACAACUUUCUCAUGGCUUCUGGAGGGAAAUGCUGUAGGAAUGCUCAACCGGUGUCGCUCAUUCAGCCGACGAAAACGUUCAAUCGGUUCUCCCCAUUAAGCAGCAAGUCGGAGUCAGAGGCCGAGCCUUCUCUGGUCUCUAUUCCUCCUGUUACGAGGUCUGAGAUGCCGAAGCCUCCCACCAUUUGCUCUGACAAAUUUAAAACCCUAGUCAUUGGCGACUCCAUUACCCGCAGUAUUAGAAUUAAAAUGAAUCAUCCAGUGAUCAUACACUGUUUAUCAGGGGGCAGGGCUACCGAUGUUAAGGCUAAUCUGAAGAUGGUGCUGGCUAAAGCUAAAACUGGCGAGUGUAGAGAGUAUAGGGAUAUUGUUAUCCACAUCGGCAGCAACGAUGUUAGGAUGAAACAGUCAGAGGUCACCAAGCGCAACAUAGCUUCAGCGUGUAAAUCAGCUAGAAAGAUGUGUCGGCAUUGAGUAAUUGUCUCUGGCCCCAUCCCAGUUAGGGGGAGUGAUGAGCUCUACCGCAGUCUCACAACUCAAUUGCUGGUUGAAAACUGUUUUCUGCCCCUUCCAAAAGAUAGAAUUUGUAGAUAAUUGGCCCUCUUUCUGGGACUCACCCACAAACAGGACCAAGCCUGGCCUGUUGAGGAGUGACGGACUCCAUCCUAGCUGGAGGGAUGCUCUCAUCUUAUCUACAAACACAGACAGGGCUCUAACUCCCCUAGCUCCACAAUGAAAUAGGGUGCAGGCCAGGCAGCAGGCUGUUAGCCAGCAUGCCAGCUUAGUGGAGUCUGCCACUAGCACAGUCAGUGUAGUCAGCUCAGCUAUCCCCAUUGAGACCGUGUCUGUGCCUCGACCUAGGUUGGGCAAAACUAAACAUGGCGGUGUUCGCCUUAGCAAUCUCACUAGAAUAAAGACCUCCAUUCCUGCCAUUAUUGAAAGAGAUCGUGAUACCUCACAUCUCAAAAUAGGGCUACUUAAUGUUAGAUCCCUCACUUCCAAGGCAGUUAUAGUCAAAGAACUAAUCACUGAUUAUAAUCUUGGUGUGAUUGGCCUGACUGAAACAUGGCUUAAGCCUGAUGAUUUUACUGUGUUAAAUGAGGCCUCAUCUCCUGGUUACACUAGUGACCAUAUCCCCACUCAUCCCGCAAAGGCGGGGGUGUUGCUAACAUUUACGAUAGCAAAUUUCAAUUUACAAAAAAAUAAAUGACGUUUUCGUCUUUUGAGCUUCUAGUCAUGAAAUCUAUGCAGCCUACUCAAUCGCUUUUUAUAGCUACUGUUUACAGGCUUCCUGGGCCAUAUACAGCGUUCUUCACUGAGUUCCCUGAAUUCCUAUCGGACCUUGUAGUCAUAACAGAUAAUAUUCAAAUUUUUGGUGACUUUAAUAUUCACAUGGAAAAGUCCACAGACCCACUCCAAAAGGCUUUCGGAGCCAUCAUCAACUCAGUGGGUUUUGUCCAACAUGUCUCCGGACCUACUCACUGCCACAGUCAUACUCUGGACCUAGUUUUGUCCCAUGGAAUAAAUGUUGUGGACCUUAAUGUUUUUCCUCAUAAUCCUGGACUAUCGGACCACGAUUUUAUCAUGUUUGCAAUCGCAACAAAUAAUCUGCUCAGACCCCAACCAAGAAGCAUUAAAAGUCGUGCUAUAAAUUCUCAGACAACCCAAAGAUUCCUUGAUGCCCUUCCAGACUGCCUCUGCCUACCCAAGGACGUCAGAGGACAAAAAUCUGUUAAUCACCUAACUGAGGAACUUAAUUUAACCUUGCGCAAUACCCUAGAUGCAGUUGCACCCCUAAAAACUAAAAACAUUUGUCAAAAGAAACUAGCUCCCUGGUAUACAGAAAAUACCCGAGCUCUGAAGCAAGUUCCAGAAAAUUGUAACGGAAAUGGCGCCACACCAAACUGGAAGUCUUCCGACUAUCUUGGAAAGACAGUACCGUGCAGUAUCGAAGAGCCCUCACUGCUGCUCGAUCAUCCUAUUUUUCCAAGUUAAUUGAGGAUUGAAAAUUUAUUUUUGAUACUGUUGCAAAGCUAACUAAAAAGCAGCAUUCCCCAAGAGAGGAUGGCUUUCACUUCAGCAGUAAUAAAUUCAUGAACUUCUUUGAGGAAAAGAUCAUGAUCAUUAGAAAGCAAGUUACAGACUCCUUUUUAAAUCUGUGUAUUCCUCCAAAGCUCAGUUGUCCUGAGUCUGCACAACUUUGCAGACUCAAACUUUGCAGUCCUAGGACCUAGGAUCAAGGGAGUCACUCAAGUGUUUUAGUACUAUAUCUCUUGACACAAUGAUGAAAAUAAUUAUGGCCUCUAAACCUUCAAGCUGCAUACUGGACCCUAUUCCAACUAAACUACUGAAAGAGCUGCUUCCUGUGCUUGGCCCUCCUAUGUUGAACCUAAUAAACGGCUCUCUAUGCACCGGAUGUGUACCAAACUCACUAAAAGUGGCAGUAAUAAAGCCUCUCUUGAAAAAGCCAAACCAUGACCCAGAAAAUAUAAAAAACUAUCGGCCUAUAUCAAAUCUCCCAUUCCUCUCAAAUAUUUUACAAAAAGCAACUCACUGCCUUCCUGAAGACAAACAAUGUAUAUGAAAUGCUUCAGUCUGGUUUUAGACCCCAUCAUAACACUGAGACUGCACUUGUGAAGGUGGUAAAUUACCUUUUAAUGGCAUCAGACCGAGGCUCUGCAUCUGUCUUCGUGUUCCUAGACCUUAGUGCUGCUUUUGAUACCAUCGAUCACGACAUUCUUUUGGAGAGAUUGGAAACCCAAAUUGGUCUACACGGACAAGUUCUGGCCUGGUUUAGAUCUUAUCUGUCGGAAAGAUAUCAGUUUGUCUCUGUGAAUGGUUUGUCCUCUGACAAUUCAACUGUACAUUUUGGUGUUCCUCAAGGUUCCGUUUUAGGACCAAUUUUUUUCCUAUAUAUUUUACCUCUUGGGGAUGUCAUUCGAAAACAUAAUGUUAACUUUCACUGCUAUGCGGAUGACACACAGCUGUACAUUUCAAUGAAACAUGGUGAAACCCCAUAAUUCCCCUCACUGGAAGCCUGAGUUUCAGACAUAAGGAAGUGGAUGGCUGCAAACUUUCUACUUUUAAAUUCGGACAAAACGGAGAUGCUUGUUCUAGAUCCCAAGAAACAAAGAGAUCUUCUGUUGAAUCUGACAAUUAAUCUUGAUGAUUGUACAGUCAUCUCAAAUAAAACUGUGAAGGACCUCAGCGUUACUCUGGACCCUAAUCUCUCUUUUGACAAACAUAUCAAGACUGUUUCAAGGACAGCUUUUUUCCAUUUACGUAACAUUGCAAAAAUCAGAAAUUUUCUGCCCAAAAAUGAUGCAGAAAAAUGAAUCCAAGCUUUUAUUACUUCUAGGUUAGACUACUGCAAAGCUCUACUUUACAGCUACCCGGAUAAAGCACUAAAUAAACUUCAGUUAAUGCUAAAUACGGCUGCUAGAAUCCUGACUAGAACCAAAAAAUGUAUCAUAUUACUCCAGUGCUAGCCUCCCUACACUGGCUUCCUGUUAAGGCAAGGGCUGAUUUCAAGGUUUUACUGCUAACCUACAAAGCAUUACAUGGGCUUGCUCCUAUCUAUCUUUCCGAUUUGGUCCUGCUGUACAUACCUACACGUACGCUACGAUCACAAGACGCAGGCCUCCUAAUUGUCCCUAGGUUUUUUAUUUAGUCAUUUAGCAGACACUCUUAUCCAGAGCGACUUACAGUAGUGAAUGCAUA